GGCUGCAACUCGCCUAGAUGAAGCUGGAAUCGCUAGUAAUCGCGGAUCAGCAUGCUGCGGUGAAUACGUUCCCGGGCCUUGUACACACCGCCCGUCACACCACGAGAGUUUGUAACACCCGAAGUCGGUGGGGUAACCUUUUUGGAGCCAGCCGCCUAAGGUGGGACAGAUGAUUGGGGUGAAGUCGUAACAAGGUAGCCGUAUCGGAAGGUGCGGCUGGAUCACCUCCUUU
This 232-nucleotide ribosomal RNA is filed under the name Vibrio cholerae. Its description in RNAcentral is "partial 16S ribosomal RNA". It matches the Rfam family "Bacterial small subunit ribosomal RNA", at positions 1303 to 1533 of the family's 1533-position model. The record is from RNAcentral. Lineage: Bacteria; Pseudomonadati; Pseudomonadota; Gammaproteobacteria; Vibrionales; Vibrionaceae.